GGAGGGGUGGCAGAGUGGUCUAUCGUACCGCACUUGAAAUGCGGCGUGGGGAAACCCACCGUGAGUUCGAAUCUCACCCCCUCCG
This 85-nucleotide transfer RNA is filed under the name Candidatus Taylorbacteria bacterium RIFCSPHIGHO2_01_FULL_46_22b. Its description in RNAcentral is "tRNA-Ser". It matches the Rfam family "tRNA". Rfam says of the family: Transfer RNA (tRNA) molecules are approximately 80 nucleotides in length. Their secondary structure includes four short double-helical elements and three loops (D, anti-codon, and T loops). The record is from RNAcentral. Lineage: Bacteria; Candidatus Tayloriibacteriota.